AGAGUUUGAUCAUGGCUCAGAAUGAACGCUGGCGGCGUGCUUAACACAUGCAAGUCGAACGAAGCGCCUUGAAUUGAUUUCUUCGGAUUGAUUUUCUUGGCGACUGAGUGGCGGACGGGUGAGUAACGCGUGGGUAACCUGCCUCAUACAGGGGGAUAACAGUUAGAAAUGACUGCUAAUACCGCAUAAGCGCACGAUACCGCAUGGUAUUGUGUGAAAAACUCCGGUGGUAUGAGAUGGACCCGCGUCUGAUUAGCUUGUUGGCGGGGUAACGGCCCACCAAGGCGACGAUCAGUAGCCGACCUGAGAGGGUGAUCGGCCACAUUGGGACUGAGACACGGCCCAAACUCCUACGGGAGGCAGCAGUGGGGAAUAUUGCACAAUGGGGGAAACCCUGAUGCAGCGACGCCGCGUGAAGGAUGACGUAUUUCGGUAUGUAAACUUCUAUCAGCAAGGAAGAUGAUGACGGUACUUGACUAAGAAGCCCCGGCUAACUACGUGCCAGCAGCCGCGGUAAUACGUAGGGGGCAAGCGUUAUCCGGAUUUACUGGGUGUAAAGGGAGCGUAGGCGGCCAUGCAAGUCAGAAGUGAAAGCCCGGGGCUCAACCCCGGGACUGCUUUUGAAACUGUAAGGCUAGAUUGCGGGAGAGGUAAGCGGAAUUCCUAGUGUAGCGGUGAAGUGCGUAGAUAUUGGGAGGAACACCAGUGGCGAAGGCGGCUCUCUGGCCUGUUUCUGACGCUGAGGCGCGAAAGCGUGGGGAGCGAACGGGAUUAGAUACCCCGGUAGUCCACGCCGUAAACGAUGGGUGCUAGGUGUAGGAGGUAUCGACCCCUUCUGUGCCGUAGUUAACACAAUAAGCACCCCGCCUGGGGAGUACGGCCGCAAGGUUGAAACUCAAAGGAAUUGACGGGGGCCCGCACAAGCGGUGGAGCAUGUGGUUUAAUUCGACGCAACGCGAAGAACCUUACCAGGGCUUGACAUCCCCUGACCGCGUAUGAAAGUACGUUUUUUAUCUUCGGAUAGACAGGGAGACAGGUGGUGCAUGGUUGUCGUCAGCUCGUGUCGUGAGAUGUUGGGUUAAGUCCCGCAACGAGCGCAACCCUUGUGUUUAGUUGCCAGCAUGAAAGAUGGGCACUCUAGACAGACCGCCGUAGAUAAUACGGAGGAAGGUGGGGAUGACGUCAAAUCAUCAUGCCCCUUAUGACCUGGGCUACACACGUGCUACAAUGGGAUGAACAGAGGGUAGCGAAGUAGUGAUACGGAGCCAAUCUCAAAAAACAUCUCCCAGUUCGGAUUGCAGGCUGCAACUCGCCUGCAUGAAGUAGGAGUUACUAGUAAUCGCAAAUCAGAAUGUUGCGGUGAAUGCGUUCCCGGGGUUUGUACACACCGCCCGUCACACCACGAAAGUCGGCAACACCCGAAGUCAGUGAGCUAACCAAUAGGAGGCAGCUGCCUAAGGUGGGGUUAAGAUUGGGGUGAAGUCGUAACAAGGUAGCCGUA
RNAcentral lists this ribosomal RNA (1501 nucleotides) under uncultured bacterium. Its description in RNAcentral is "bacterial SSU rRNA". It matches the Rfam family "Bacterial small subunit ribosomal RNA". The record is from RNAcentral.